AAUAGAUACCCGGGUAGUCCACGCCGUAAACGAUGAGUGCUAAGUGUUAGAGGGUUUCCGCCCUUUAGUGCUGCAGCAAACGCAUUAAGCACUCCGCCUGGGGAGUACGGCCGCAAGGCUGAAACUCAAAGGAAUUGACGGGGGCCCGCACAAGCGGUGGAGCAUGUGGUUUAAUUCGAAGCAACGCGAAGAACCUUACCAGGUCUUGACAUCCUCUGACAAUCCUAGAGAUAGGACGUUCCCCUUCGGGGGACAGAGUGACAGGUGGUGCAUGGUUGUCGUCAGCUCGUGUCGUGAGAUGUUGGGUUAAGUCCCGCAACGAGCGCAACCCUUGAUCUUAGUUGCCAGCAUUCAGUUGGGCACUCUAAGGUGACUGCCGGUGACAAACCGGAGGAAGGUGGGGAUGACGUCAAAUCAUCAUGCCCCUUAUGACCUGGGCUACACACGUGCUACAAUGGAUGGUACAAAGGGCUGCAAGACCGCGAGGUUUAGCCAAUCCCAUAAAACCAUUCUCAGUUCGGAUUGCAGGC
This 530-nucleotide ribosomal RNA is filed under the name uncultured bacterium. RNAcentral describes it as "bacterial SSU rRNA". It matches the Rfam family "Bacterial small subunit ribosomal RNA", at positions 777 to 1305 of the family's 1533-position model. The record is from RNAcentral.